GAGAGAAGGAAGAGGAGUGUGUCCCAGGGGAAGGGAAAACCACCCCCUACUGCCGGCGUGUCACUCCAGGCCUGGGCCCUCAUUCUCCAUCCCACAGCCAUCCUUUGAGCAGGACAUUCAGCAAGUGCUCCCCAAUGCCUGCAUCCUUUUCUCAUUGUAACUAUCAUGUGACACCUAACUUUGGCCAGUCGUAGAGUCAUGACUUUACCCUUUUCAUGUUCUGAGUUAGAAUCACAGGCCUUUGGCCUGGGAAAGACACUGGAAAUCAUUUGUCCAAAAUUGUCUUUUUGCAGAUGAGGAAAUUAAAGUCCAGAAGCCUAAGGGGCUUGUCCAAGGUCACACAGCAAAGAAGCCAAGGCUAAAACCCAGGUGUUCUGAUGUCCAGCCCAGUGUCCAUUUCAUUAAAGUGGGUAGGGGUCUGGGUCUUAGGUAUGUGUAUACACACACACACACACACACACACACACACUCAAAUUUCCAUAUGCUUCCAAAUCUAGGCGUGCUUUCAUUAUUUUAUUCAUUGUCCCAGCAACUAGGCCUGGAAAAUGAAUAAUAUAUCUCAGUUUUUACCAAUGAAGAAUCUGAACCUCAAAGAAGCUAAAGGAUAGUAAUCAAGAUCACCCACGUUGUAGCAAAGCUGGUAUAAAACUUGCCUCCUGACUCCCAAGACAGCAUGCUCCCCAGGGCCCCACACUGCCUCAGAGCCAGCUGCCCUGAGCUCUUGGCUAUGACUGCUAUAAAGGAGCCAGGAUCCCCAUCCAUAUUUAUGGGAAAACUUUUGGCUCAACUGCAUUAUGCUUAGAAGUCUCAACAUUUUUUUUUUUUAAUUUAUCAGAGGAAAGAGAGUAACAAUGGAGUUGAUGGGCAAUUUGUGUAAUUAACACCCAAACACUCCCUGUACUAUGAGGUUUUUUGAUUCAGUGCAUUUUCCUAACAGAUGCUUUUUUUACUGGUCAAGUGACAUUAUCAGGAGGAUUAAAAUGGAGAGGAAAGAUGCUUGCUGGAGGAGAGUGGAGGGUAGGCAUGAUUUGGGUUUGUCAUUAGUGAUCUUAGGUACACUUUGACGUACCUAUGAGCCUGCUUCCUGCAAAGAUUUGAAUGAUGAAACCAGUGAGAUCCACACAAGGAGAUGGACAUCUGCUUCUAAAUUAGUGCUCAUUUAGCUUGUGUGGAAAUGAUUUGUGACUCUCAAGACAACAAAACCGAACACUGUUUUUUUUUUUCCUAUGACCAUGACUUUUUACUCUUUUCUCAGUGGGCCAGAUGGACACAUCAGAGUGGCCUUGCUGGGCUUCAGAGGAACGAUGACUGUUCCUGUUCUCGUCAAUGUUUGAAAAGAUAUUGUUACUGCUUCAUCUCAGUGUAAUCAUAACACCCAAAUCAAGGUCCUGAGAAAUAUCUAGCCCCUUCCAAAACACUCAUAGAAACAUGUAAUUGGCUCUUCUGGGGUGCUUACAUCAGGACUGAUGUUCACACCAAUUGGUAGUCCACCCCAAUUCAGCUGUGCUGGUUAUUAAAACACUGAUGUAUUUCCAGAUCAUCUGGAAAGUAGCUGGGUCUCUGAGCCCUACCAGUUCCUCAUCACUUCUCCAGCUGCUCCAGGGUCAGGGAGCCUAAAAGAGCACCAAUACAGAGCUGCCCUGGCACCUACUAAUCUGCCAGUCAGACCCCCAUGGCUCCUGCAUGCCUGCCCUGUUCCUGCAUGUUCCCCAGCUGAACAUUCUGUACUGCUGAGGGAGACAGCAUCUCUGAUGGUUACAGACCCCAGCAGGUAGAUAUCCACUCUAUAGUUCCCCCUGAGGGACCCGGAAUGACUGGUUGCUCAAUGGAUUUAUUAUCACUCUGGGUCCGCUUGUUGGCCAUGAUGUUGACAUGGGCAAGGCCUGGAGCAGGGUGUGCUAAGCUUUGCCUCCCACAGUGAUCAGGUGGGCAAUGCUGGAGACUGUCCACUCAGACCCUGGCUACAGGGUCAAGGUGAAGUCAAGUGUGGUGGAAAGUAGAAGUCCAAAGUAAGUAUUUAAACCAGUGCCUCUUGAUCCAAGAGUGACUGACAGGGCCCAAAGCCAGAAGGAAAAAAAGAACCAGGGCAGGCAAGAGGGAAUGAGAAGCAGACAAAAAAAUCUAGCUAUUUCUCCCCCUCAGUCAGAGUCCCUGGAUAUACAAGAGUCUAUGAGUUCUUUAUAAUAAUUUAAAUGAUCUGUUUUCAUUUUGAGGAUAAUCCUAAAGAAAGACAUUUUUACCUCUACAUUUGGGCUUGUGUUUUCAAUCACUGUGGCACAAAAGAGAGGUGCUUUAAUUGUCAUGACACAUGAAAGAAGAAGUGAGGUAAAUCUGGUGCAGAGUCAGGUCCCUGAGGGCCAAGAGACCUGAUAAGAGAAGGGUUUGCAGCAGUGGCAUAGCAACUCUUGGGAAUAUUGAUUCAUCACACAGCCUAUGUAGUAGGGCAUAUCAACCUAAAAAGACCUAGAUUUGAUUUCUAGGGCCGCUGUAGCAGAGGACCGCAGACUGGGUGGCUUAUUCUCUCACCAUAUCCAUAUUGGUGGCCAGAGGCCUGAGAUCAAGGUGUUAGUUGGGCCAUGCUCCCUCUUAGACUCUAAGAAGAAUCCUUCCUUGCCCCUUCUUAGCUUCUGGUGGCGGCCAUUGAUCCUUGGCAUCCCUUGUCUUAUAGCUACGUCACUCUAGUCUGCCUUUGCCAUCACGUGGCCCUCUCUCUGUGUGGCUUUCUCUUUUUUCCUCAUUAGAACACCAGUCCCAUUGGAUUGUGACACCCUAAUGACCUCAACUUGAUUACAUCUGCAGAGACCCUAUAUCAGUUAGCAUUCACAGGUACCCAGGGGUAGGGCUUCAGCCUGUCUUUUUGGAGGAUACAAUUCAACCCAAAACAGAACCUGAGGAAGAGCAAUCUGUGCCCUAUUUGUCCUGUAAGCGGUGACAUUGUUUCAGUAAACAGCACUUCCAUCACAACGAAUUGUCGCUUAAUUUGAAUUGCAUGGUUUUGAACAUUUGUAUUUAUAUGCAAAUAAUUAUUGAAUUAUUUUGUUUGGUUUUGAUAGUCAUGCAAGAGCUAUAAGCAUAAGGAAUUUAUACCCACUUUUAUGUUAUACAUUUAAAAAUAACAUAAUAUAAGCAAUUUGUUGGCUCAGGUAGUUCUUGACAAUUUUCACUCAUUCUAUUUAAAGUACCUGCAUGUUAUUUCAAUACUAGAGCCCCUGGGGUCUAGAUGAAUUCCAGAUGUGAGAGGAGAUGGUGGUUUUCGAAAGCUUGUAUGUGUGCGUAAAUCUGUUAAAAGGAGCUUACCUAGGCAUGUGGUCAGAUUUCAAAUUCCCUGCAGGCUUGUUUACCUCUUACAGACCAGAGGGUGCCCCAGGGUAAGCGUUGGACUUUGACUUGGCCUAGAGUCAAGGUCAAUUCCCUUACUGUCUUCUGCCCCCACCCCCAUGCCUUUCAGCAGUAAUAUCCAGGCCAGAGAGCAGCCAGAUUCUGGCUUGAGUCCCACAGGGAGGUCUGGCAUGGAAACGGCCAAGCUGGAGUUCCCAUCGUAGCUCAGCAGAAACUAAUCUGACUAGCACCCAUGAGGACGCGGGUUCAAUCCCUGGUCUUGCUCAGUGGGUUAAAGAUCCUGUGUUGCUAUGAGCAGCGGUGUAGGUUGCAGGUACAGCUCGGAUCUUACGUUACUAUGGCUGUGGCAUAGGCCACAGCUACAGCUCCAAUUGGACUCCUAGCCUGGGAACAUCCAUAUGCUGCUGGUGGAGCCCUAAAAAGACAAAAACAAAACAAAACAAAACAAAACAAAACAGCCGAGCUCCAGAAAGCUGGAUGAUUAGAGAAGAACUGGCUUCCACGACAAGUCCACAGUCCCCCUCCCCCAAAUCAGUAGAGCACUCAGGGACACUGAACCCUACUCCAUUGACCCUCAUGGUCCUGAGGACAGGUUUGCCCUCAGCACUAUAACCAGAGAGUCUGAAUGUCAAUCCAGAGUGUUCACUUCGUGAUCUUUGAUCCAGAAAUGGAUUGAACAUUAGAUGGAAUCCUCAGUACCUACCUGUCCUUAAAUGCAGACCCCUGGAGGGCAAGGAUAGGAUCUGGGAGACUAGCUUUAAAGUCACUUGCAACAAAUAACAAUUUUUUUGGCUCUCUCUCGCUCUCUCUUUUUUUCUUAAUAUGGCUGUACCCAUGACAUAUGAUGUUCCCAAGCUAGGGACUGAAUCCAAGGUGCAGCUGUGACCCAAGCUGCAGCUGCAGCAAUGCCCGAGCCUUUAACCCACUGUGCUGG
This 4273-nucleotide long non-coding RNA is filed under the name Sus scrofa (pig). RNAcentral's name for it is "lncRNA (ENSSSCG00000057134.1)". Lineage: Eukaryota; Metazoa; Chordata; Mammalia; Artiodactyla; Suidae. The record is from RNAcentral.